This 98-nucleotide non-coding RNA is filed under the name Bigelowiella natans. Lineage: Eukaryota; Cercozoa; Chlorarachniophyceae. The record is from RNAcentral.
CAUGAGGGACAUUUAAAAAAAAAAAGAUUACAAAAAACACUUGCGUGUAUAUGCUCAUUCAUUCUCUCUUCUUUUCUUUGUCUCGUUCUCCCUCUCCC